ACUGCACUUUACUGAUUUUAAGAUGCCUAUGGCAUCUAUUUUAUCAGAAGGCUAGAAUAGGAGUGCAUAUUAGUUCUCAUUUUAUGUGGGUGUGGAUUCAGGUUGUCUAAUGGUUUUCGGAUCCAGUUCGGGUCUAUUUUUCUGGGCUGGACUAUGUCCCAAAAAAAACUAACCCAACGUAUAUACACAAUGAAGAAUAGACUCCCAAAAGAGUCGAGCCUUUAUUUCAAAUAAUAACGAAGGAAUAGACAUAGUUGUGAGCAUUCAAGUUCGGGAGGAUUGUGAUUUUGUUAGCGAUUCUCUAGGAUGGAAGAACGCAUGCUGUGCUAUCUAGUUUUUGCUGUCACGAAAGGGGCUCGCCUAGGUGUUUACUCAAUUUAGGAGGAGGCAACGAGCAGGUGUCUAAUUAUAGUUUUUCUGAGUAUCAUGGUUUCAAUAGCUACGAACACGCAUUACAGUGCUUCAAAUCGAGAAUGGCUUCCAUUGAUGCUGACAAAGUGCAAAUGCAGAAAUGUUUGGAACACAGAGCAAGAAGGGUAUGUUCUCUUCCGGCAGUAGCCGGCAGCGUGGAUUGGUUUCAUGGCUUCCUGUAAUUCCUGAAGAGGAACUAAACCCUGUUCCUGACUUUGCCAUAGCCAACAACAUGGAGUCAUGGCUAGUGAAGAUUUGCCAUGAUUCUGAAAUACCUGGUCCAUGCUUUUUCUAGUAAGAAAAAUUUCUGAGAGAGUCUACUCCGUUUUAUGGAUUCAUAGUGGUAUUUCCUGGCAAUCCAUUUGAAGCUGCUAUGGUUGCAAAUGGUCAUUUUUCUUUGGUUGAAAAGGCUGCCCGUGAAGACGCAGCUUUGGAAAUAGUUGGUCGAGUACUAGAAACCACUGAUAAGGAGAUUCGCGAUUAUAACUACUUCAAAAUUAAUCUACUUCGCAACUCAAACAAUGCAUUCAAGGCAAAGCUUAGCCAGCUCGAAGAUGCUCACGAGAAGCUGAUAGCAAACUACGAAACCGUUGUGAACGCUCACAUCAAUGGGCAAUCUCCUUGAUUAUGUUGUUUUCGUUUUUGUUUUGCCAAGGGUUCUAUAAUUAACUUAAUGGGUUGAGGUUAAGGUAUUUAUAUUUUCUAAUUGUUUGGUAUGUUGUAUUUGGUGCUUGAUGUUUUUUUUUGGCAAUCUCCUUGAUUGUGUUUUCAAUUUUGUUUUACUAGGGGUUCUAUAAUUAACUUAAUAGGUUGAGGUUAAGGUGUUUAUGUUUUCUAAUUGUUUGGUAUGUUGUAUUUAGUGAUUAAUGCUGCAAUGGAGUAGUUAAUUAACAUGAAUUUGUUUAACUUGUCAGUUC
Molecule: non-coding RNA, 1328 nt
Organism: Arachis ipaensis
Lineage: Eukaryota; Viridiplantae; Streptophyta; Magnoliopsida; Fabales; Fabaceae
Source: RefSeq, a predicted model, not a curated record